RNAcentral lists this ribosomal RNA (441 nucleotides) under uncultured bacterium. RNAcentral's name for it is "partial 16S ribosomal RNA". It matches the Rfam family "Bacterial small subunit ribosomal RNA", at positions 338 to 795 of the family's 1533-position model. The record is from RNAcentral.
CCUACGGGAGGCAGCAGUGGGGAAUAUUGCACAAUGGGGGAAACCCUGAUGCAGCGACGCCGCGUGAGUGAAGAAGUAUUUCGGUAUGUUAAGCUCUAUUAGCAGUAACGAGACAAGACGGUAUCUGACCAAGAAGCCCCGGCUAACGACGCGCUAGCAGCCGCGGUAAUACGUAGGGGGCAAGCGUUAUGCGGAAUCACUGGGCGUAAAGGGAGGGUAGACGAAUGAGCAAGGUUGGAGUGAAAGGCGGGGGCCCAACCCCCGGACUGCUUUGGGAACUGUGCGGCUGGAGUGAAGGAGAGGUAAGUGGAAUUCCUGGUGUAGCGGUGAAAUGCGUAGAUAUUAGGAGGAACACCAGUGGCGAAGGCGGGUUACUGGACAGUAACUGACGUUGAGGCACGAAGGCGUGGGGAGCGAACGGGAUUAGAUACCCGUGUAGUC